Molecule: non-coding RNA, 544 nt
Organism: Lactuca sativa (garden lettuce)
Lineage: Eukaryota; Viridiplantae; Streptophyta; Magnoliopsida; Asterales; Asteraceae
Source: RefSeq, a predicted model, not a curated record
GCAUCCAGUGAACAUAUUGACAAAAUGUAGCAUAGAACAUGAAUGGUUCACGAUCAUUGUAAGCAUGUUUUCCUUUAUUGUUUGUUUAAUUGUAUAAAACACUCUUAUUCGAUUAUAUUUUUGAAAAAGUAUUAUAGACAUAGCAUCUUUAUUAACCAUGCAUUUUUAAUUUGGCAUAGGAACUUCAACAGAUAAAAGGAACAUUACAUACAAGAUCGUUUUUGGAUUUCAAUUGAUAUUUUUUUCGUGGAGAUUUAUACAGAUAUUAUUGACGACAAAGUUCUUUUUCAAGAAAAACAGCAAACAUUGGCCAGGAAGCACCAGGACCUGCCAAGGAAGAAGUUGGGAAGAAGAUCAACAAACCUCAUACUUGAGAGAUGAGAGAUCAAAAAAGAGCUAAUCAGGGACAACUGUUUGUUCACCAAAUACAACCAUUUUAGGGCUUUUCUUCUAUCAAUUUUAGGCGCCAAUGAGGUAAAUACUUCUGAUGAGUUAAAAUUAGUAAUUUUGGAAUAUCCUAUGGAAGUAGUCAAUGUAUGAUUUU